RNAcentral lists this ribosomal RNA (472 nucleotides) under Klebsiella pneumoniae. Its description in RNAcentral is "partial 23S ribosomal RNA". It matches the Rfam family "Bacterial large subunit ribosomal RNA", at positions 1220 to 1693 of the family's 2925-position model. The record is from RNAcentral. Lineage: Bacteria; Pseudomonadati; Pseudomonadota; Gammaproteobacteria; Enterobacterales; Enterobacteriaceae.
GUUGUUGGGUAGGGGAGCGUUCUGUAAGCCUGCGAAGGUGACCUGUGAGGGUUGCUGGAGGUAUCAGAAGUGCGAAUGCUGACAUAAGUAACGAUAAAGCGGGUGAAAAGCCCGCUCGCCGGAAGACCAAGGGUUCCUGUCCAACGUUAAUCGGGGCAGGGUGAGUCGACCCCUAAGGCGAGGCCGAAAGGCGUAGUCGAUGGGAAACAGGUUAAUAUUCCUGUACUUGGUGUUACUGCGAAGGGGGGACGGAGAAGGCUAUGUUAGCCGGGCGACGGUUGUCCCGGUUUAAGCAUGUAGGCUGGUUGUCCAGGCAAAUCCGGAUAAUCAAGGCUGAGGUGUGAUGACGAGGCACUACGGUGCUGAAGUAACAAAUGCCCUGCUUCCAGGAAAAGCCUCUAAGCAUCAGGUAACAUCAAAUCGUACCCCAAACCGACACAGGUGGUCAGGUAGAGAAUACCAAGGCGCUUGA